CAGGCUUGCUGUGCUUGCAGGGCACAGCUAAAUGCCGACUCCGGGAAUAAUAGUCAUGUCAUGGGAAGGGAUGCGCUGGUUUGUAAGUGAAACAUGAACUUGAGCAUCUGUUUCACCCUUCUAAAAAAUACAAGAGGAGCAGAAGGCAUAGCCUCUACCCUUAAGGACAUACUAAACAACUAUAACUGCACUACGUUCCAAGCACUAAGCUAGAAGGCUUUACAGGCAAAAUAAAAUGCAACAGUGACUAAUGGCAGUUGCAGAUUCAAAUAAUAUUAGAAGAAAGUAAAUAUUGUUACUAUCUGCUACAUGAACAAGACAUGCGGAUAUUCCAAGUAUUCACUGUGUCUCCGAGAAUUCCAAGGCUCUUUGACUUAGAAGAACUUAGAUAAUUGCAGGCACAGUUUAGGCUGUAGGAUUUCCAUGAUUUAACAUCUGCUGUCUUCAGAAAUGUGAUUAGAGGGAUGUUCCCCUAGGCUGGGAGGAAGCUGAUCUCUCUCUUUUCUGUUUUUUGUCUCUUCCCCUCUACCCCUUGAAAGAAUCACCUCCUUCAAGGAGAAAGAAAAACAGGACUUUGGACACUCUGGAUUUAUACAGCGCCAUCACUUGGCAUCUGUGAUUCUUCUAACACCCUCCAUGGUGCUGGGAACAGGGCUUGCCGGCUCCAUUUUGACUGAGAGAAAGUGAGGCAGGAACUGGUGAAUGGCCGGCUGGCCACCCAGCAAGAAGCAGCAAAGCCAGGAUUAGGACACAGGCCUUUGAAUUCCACAGUACUCCUCCUUUCUCUUUACCCCUCUUUUACAUUUUGGGCCAAAUGCUUUGCUUUCUUUCUGGUUAAAAGCAUUUCUUUCACUAGUUUUUACUCGCAAGUCAAAAACCUACCCUUUGGCCAUCUCCUGGGUGGAACUUUGUUUUCAGGCAUUCACUUCUAACUCCACUUGGUGAUAAGACACUGGGUCUCCUGGGGAAUUUGUGCUGGGAGCCUGAGGGUGAAAGGUCAUCCCCUUCUCCAGGCCCUGUUCUUCCUUUGGUGAGUUGUCAGGCAGCCUCUCAACCAUUGAUCAAUCAACCCCGACGGCAGACUGCCUGCCAUGCAGCCCUCGCUGGCUCUGUGUGUGAAACAGGAAUCUUCCUCUUCAAACCAUCGAGCCUUUCCCGGCUCCUCCAUGCCUUCCCCACCACUCUUCCUCUAUCACGUUUUCCUCCUUUUUACUCCCUGGUCCUCACAGCCACACUGACUCUAAUCUCAGGAGUUAGUCACCAACUUUCUACUUGCACAGGGAGGUUUCCAAGGAUUCGCACUCAGCACCUCCUGUAGUGCAAUCAAGUAACUGUGGAUUUUUGUGCUUAUGAGAUAAACGUGGAUCAAUCGAUGGAUAAAGGUCAUAGGCUUUUUAGAGCCAGGAGGGAACUCGAAGGUCAUCUGAUUCAACUAAUUCAUUUUUACAAAUGAUGAAACUUAAGAAGAGGCUAAAUGACUGUCCUGGGUUAUAUAAUUACUGAAACAAAUACUAUUAACCAGAUCUUCUAAAAUGCAAAUUGCUCUUUCCCCCAUGAAACCAUCCAGCUCUGGAAUUCCUUGGUGGCUCAGCAGAUUAAUGAUCCAGUGUUGUCACUGCUGUGGCUCGGGGGUCACUGCUGUGGUGCAGGUUCAAUCCCUGGCCCAGAAACUUCUGCAUGCCAUGAGUGCAGCCAAAGAGAAAAAAAACCAUACAGUUUCUACUUAUUAUAAAUCCUUUUUAAUGAUAUUUGUUUAAUUCCAUUCAUUUUUUUAAAUUUUAGAGAUAUGGCAUAUUUUUCAUUUAAUUAAGAAAUUACCUCUCAACUUUAUUCAUUUAUAAUAACAUGUUUUGUCUCACACGGUGUUUUAAAAACCUAAUUCUCCCCCUAAAUAUUAAAGCAAUACAUGCCCAAUGUGUAAAACUUGGGAAGUAAAGGAACCUAUAAAGGAAAAAAUAUUACCCAGUUUCACCCAUUAGAGAUAAUCAUUGCUAACAUUUUUCAUGUAUUUCCUUCUAGUUUUCGCAUACUUCUUAUGUUGUUGAAAUCAGGCUGUGUAUAGAGUUCUGUAUCCUAAGACUUUUUUGUUUGUUUGCUUUUUUAACAUAUCAUAAACCUUUACUGUGUCAUUACAAAAUCUUUGUACAUAUGCUAUAAAUAGCUUCAUAGAGCCCAUAUCUUUGAUGGUAGCACAGUGCUCUUAACCAUUUUCCUAACCAUGGGCAUCCGCAUUUCAACCCAACUUUCCAUUUUUAAGGCAAUGUUGCAGUAAUACCCAUGCAUACUUAUUUCUAUAUACUUUUGUUUGUCCUUGGAAAAAAUUUCUAGAAGUGGGUAAAAACCCAUUUAUAUUUUUCAGGCCCUCGAUGCAUUUUACCCAGUUGCUUUUCAGGUAGGUGACACCAACUGACACACCUACCAACAGGUUUCAUAGUACUUUUAGGGUAUUUUUCCAGAACUGUAUUUUAUUUUAUUUUUUUUAUCAUCAAUGCAGUCUUGACUAGUCCACGGUCUAAAGUAGCUGCUGCCAAACACAAUUUCCAAAUUAAAAUUGUAAAUGGGACUCUCAGCCCCUCCGUAUAACUGUGUUUUUUUAGCCUGUUGGUGAUCCGUGUGGCCUGGCCACAUCGCUACCCACUUUCUGAGUGUGUACAUUUUACUGAAAAUCUGCUGAGUGACAGGCAGUGUGCCACAUGUUAGAGAGCAGACAGGUGUUCUCAGUGCAGGGUGUUCUCAGUGCAGAGGAGGAGACAGUCACGGAAGCCAGCAGGGAGGACAGAGUGAUGGGUGCUGCCGUAAUAGGAGUCGGCACAGGCUGAGUGCAGCCCAGCCCAAGAGCACGGAAGUCAGCCUCUGGAGGCAACAGGCAGCUUUGAAGAUAUGGCACUUAAACUGUAUCUUCAAGGGUGAAGUGCUUGCUAGAUGGAAGACCUGAGAUGUCCACAGUCUACACAGUGGAAAUGUCCUGAAGUGAACUGCACACAGUGGAGUCACCUUGGGAGACUUGUGACCUUGGGACAGUUACUUAACUUCUCCAUAGCUCAUAUUCCUCAUCUAUAAAAAUACUACUCAUCAAACUACUUUGCAGGGCUGUGAAGAACAACUGAGAUACCAAAGGUCAAGUGCUUAGAACACAGCUUGGUGCAUCGACAGAGCUCCAAAGAUGUCAGAUACUGUCAUCGCCACCACCAUCGUUACAGCAGAAGCACUGAGUCCAGAUGAAGUGGCAGGGGGUGUGGGAUUGACAGAAGGGUCAGUGCACAAAGGCCAUUUAUAACAUCCUAAAAAGGACCUACUUCACCCUGACAUCCAUAAUUCCCUUGAAGAUGUUUGGGGUUUUGGACUUAACUGCCUAAUGGAGAAUCUCCUCGGCUUCCUUCUAGACAUGAUUCCCAGCUGAGAACAAGCCCCCAGUCUCACUCCUGGGCACACAGUCUCAAAGAACACACCCCCUUCUACUCAGCCUCAUAUCAGUAACCAAAGGAAGGUAUCUUCCUGCCCUCUGGAGAUUUUAGUGAUUCAUAGCCAUCCAGUGGGAACAAUUCUUUUAACAAUAUCAAACUAAUAAAUUCCUGGGAGCAGGGAGUGUAAUCGGAAAAAAAAAUAACAAAAACAAACCCAGCCCCAAUUUUCUUUUCUGAAAAUGAUCUUGGGAAUUUUCACCCAUUGAGUGACUUGGUUUUACCAGAAGGGAAUGUGAAACAAGAUGGACUAAUUUUGUCCAGAGAAUAGAGACCCUCUGCUCACUUUCCCUUGCUUUUCCUAUAGCUUAAAGCUGUGGUCCAGUUGCCCGCACCACUGAAGCCCUGCCUCCCAAGUUGGGUUCGUCUCUGAUUACCUGGUGGCUCAGGAAGUCAGCCUAGGUACCGUUUCCUGCCCUCUCAUCUAUGUCUGUCCCAACCUCAUACUCCUCAGCUAGGCCAGCUUCUAUCAGGGCAAAUAUGUCCCCACAGAUGCAUUGUUUUCUUCUUGGACAGACAGGCUGGGAGAAAGGGAAUAACCACCCCUCCUAGUUUGCACCAGUUGCCCUGGCAUAAUUAUCAUAGUGCCUCUUUUUCCUCUCAAAAAUAUCCUGUUUGGGAGUUCCCCUUGUGGCUCAGUGGGUUAAGAACCUGACAUAGUGUCUAUGAAGUUACAGGUUCUUUCCCUGGCCUCACUCAGUGGGUUAAGGAUCCUGCGUGGCAGUGGCUGUAGUGUAGGCUGGCAGUUGCAGCUCCAAUUUGACCCGUAGCCUAAAAAUUUCUAUAUGCCACAGGUGCAGCCUUAAAAAAAAUGUCCUGUGUGGAUAAUAAAUUAUAUUCAAAUUCCAUGGUCACAUGUAUCUUAAAUAUUUAGCCCCUCAAGGCCAGGGACUGGGUCAUUUUUUAUUAUUAAAUCUCCAGCACAGUGCCAAGAAGAAGCAUCUGAUAGUCUUAUGUGCUCCCCAUAGUUUAACCUUGAUGACUCUCCUGCCUUCAUAAAGGCCCUGGGAUCUGGACAUCAGUUUUUUAAGGAUCUGUAAAGUGGAGAUAAUACUACUUACCUUCUAGAACUGCAAACUAAUACAACAAAAUUGUUAUUUUUUACCCUCAGAAAAUUCUAAAACCUUAUGCCAGUGUUAUGACCUGAAUUUUUCACUACUAAAAGACACCAUGAAAUGUGAAUUAAUCUUUUUUUCUGAUUAGAAAGUACAUGAGAAAACGAAGCACUAAAGUGAAAUUUUUUUUGAGCUUGCAUGUGUAUGUAUGAUUUUGGAAUCAUAGAAGUCUGACUUUCAUAUCAGAUUGGAUUUUCAAUAGCUAAAAUUAAAAAGAAAAAAUCCUAGAUCCUGACAAAGAGGCAGGAAUCUCAAAUGAAUAGUACUAAAUAAUGAUCCUGCCUAUUUCUCCUAACACUGGAAUUGGGUCUGAACCAGUCAUCUAGCAUUUUGUGGCAUCUUUGGUAUAAAUUAUAAAAGCUGUGAGAUCUCUUAUUGAGCGGUAGGAUGAUUGUUGGGUGUGAGCAAAACAUGCCUUUUCUUUUAGAAAUUUUUAACUUAGAAAAAUUAAAAUACUACCAGCUUGUCAAUGACUGCAUAUCCCAUUUAUUUAUACUUUCCAGACCUAAUCCUUGCUGGAUGUCUAGAACUGGAGACUGGAUGAAAUUAAUGUUAGUAAAACAGGAUAGCAAGACAGGAAAACUCUUUCCUCAAUAAGCUUGCUACCUAGUUAUGCUGACAGGACACACAUAAGAAGACAAGUGGUGGCAGAAGGUGGAAAUGACAACCAUUUUAUUGCUUUGGGAAUUUAGUUAGGAGCCAAGAAAUGACAUAAUAAAGACAGAGAAGCAGCCCCUUACCCCAAACAAGUGAGAGAGGAUAAAAAUGCUUUGGGGCCAUGACAGUUGCAAAUUGAAGCAUGAGAUAUUUUCAGCAGCCCUUUCCUACUGAAUGAGUAUCAUUGCAUACCCCCUGGUGUGGGACAGGUUCCUAGCCUGUCACUUCAUCUCAGUUUUUAUCAUCCCAUUCAAAUUUUCAGUCUUGCUUGUGGAAAUCUCUAACCAACUCCUGUGCCUGUGCUUGAACGCUAGGGCUUGAUAUCUCACACCUGAAGCAGUGUGGUGCCCUGAUUUCUCUUGCUUUGAUUUUAUUAGGGGUCCAUCGAUUAGGGUCUUUAAAGAGAUUAUCUACUCUUCCCUCUUCUGAUCAAUGCAGGUUUCCAGUUCCUAACCCCAUCAUUGCGGCAGUGCAUCCUCCUAGGAACCAGAAGUCACUUAUUAGAGUUGUAGCAACAUGGCAAUACCCGCAGAGCUGAAGCAGCACAGAAAACAUUCCUGGACAGGUCUGGGAGAAUGAGACAGCCAAGGAAGUGACAGCAGGCAGCCAGGCAUAUUGUGAUAUCCUCCAAAGAUACGUGGUAGAGGGACAAGCAUUAGAGAUAGAAACACUGGGAUUUGUAUCUUGAUUCUAUCACUUAGCAGCUGUUUGAUUUGGGACCCCAUCAGGGUACCAGUAUUUUUUUUUUUUUUGUAAUGGGGAUGUCAUGACACAUAAUUGCCAGGAUUAUAAGGUCUGAAUGAGCUACUUUUUAUAAAACGUUAAGCAUUAUGCUUGGCACACUUUUUUGGAAGCAUGAAAAGAACUGCAUAAAAGGAAGCAGCGAUUGACCCCUCAGCUCAAAGGAGAGCUACAGAGAAAGAUUUAAUCCACCUGGGGGGACUUGCCCACAAUUAGUGGCACAAUAAUAGCAGUAAGGUCCUUGAAGAGAAGCUUAAUAUUAAGGAAAGAUCAUGAACUUUUCCCUGUCAAAAAUAGCGGAAGGGAGGAAGGGAGGAGUUUCUGCCAUAGCUCAAUGGUCAACAAACUCAACUGGCAUCCAUGAGGAUGAGGGUUCAAUCCCUGGCCUCACUCAGUGGGUUAAGGAUCUUGCAUUGCCAUGAGCUGUGGUGUAGCUUGCAGACAUGGCUCAGAUCUGGUGUUGCUGUGGUGUGGGCCAGCGGCUACAGCUCCGAUUGGAUCCCUAGCCUGGGAAACUCCAUAUGUCACAGAUGUGACCCUAAAAAGACAAAAAG
Molecule: long non-coding RNA, 6528 nt
Filed under: Sus scrofa (pig)
Lineage: Eukaryota; Metazoa; Chordata; Mammalia; Artiodactyla; Suidae
Description: lncRNA (ENSSSCG00000062014.1)
Source: RNAcentral